Molecule: transfer RNA, 90 nt
Filed under: Actinoplanes campanulatus
Lineage: Bacteria; Bacillati; Actinomycetota; Actinomycetes; Micromonosporales; Micromonosporaceae
Description: tRNA-Glu
Source: RNAcentral
CGGCUCGAUCGGUGCCGGUUCGGCCGGUUUCGACGGCCCGGGGCUGGGCACCGGCCUCGGCUGCGACGGCUCGGGUUCGUCCGGGUCGGC